This 272-nucleotide ribosomal RNA is filed under the name uncultured bacterium. RNAcentral describes it as "partial 16S ribosomal RNA". It matches the Rfam family "Bacterial small subunit ribosomal RNA", at positions 88 to 354 of the family's 1533-position model. The record is from RNAcentral.
CCGGCGACCGGCGCACGGGUGAGUAACACGUAUGCAACCUGGCCGUCAACAGGUGGAUAACCGGAAGAAAUUCCGACUAAUACAGCAUAACACUCCUGAGGGGACAUCCCUUGGGAGUCAAAGGAGGCAACUCCGGUGACGGAUGGGCAUGCGGCGCAUUAGGUAGUUGGUAGGGUAACGGCCUACCAAGCCGACGAUGCGUAGGGGUUCUGAGAGGAAGGUCCCCCACAUUGGAACUGAGACACGGUCCAAACUCCUACGGGAGGCAGCAG